AGGUGCGAUCAUACCAGCACUAAUGCACCGGAUCCCAUCAGAACUCCGCAGUUAAGCGUGCUUGGGCGAGAGUAGUACUAGGAUGGGUGACCUCCUAGGAAGUCCUCAUGUUGCACCUC
This 119-nucleotide ribosomal RNA is filed under the name Lupinus angustifolius (narrow-leaved blue lupine). Lineage: Eukaryota; Viridiplantae; Streptophyta; Magnoliopsida; Fabales; Fabaceae. The record is from RNAcentral.